Aquila chrysaetos chrysaetos is the source of this 2579-nucleotide long non-coding RNA. RefSeq lists it as uncharacterized. The record is from RefSeq and is a predicted model, not a curated record. The transcript has 3 exons. Lineage: Eukaryota; Metazoa; Chordata; Aves; Accipitriformes; Accipitridae.
UAUUACAUUUAAAAUUAAGAGAAAAGCACAAAAGUUCUCCAUAUUUUGACAUGUCCAAUAACCACUUACAUGCUUAGGGAUAGCUAAGCAUCUCAGCAAGAUAUAAUCUACAUUUUAGUGUCAGGAAUGCGGUAAGUAAUUUGAACAUAUAAGAGCAAGGAAAUGUGUCUUUUCUGUGAAGCCCCCUGGGCUCCAUGGGAAGUGCCACAGACUGACUGGGUGUAAAUAUGAAGCUAUCUAAUUAUUAGCUGUUGUAUUUUUAUGAUAAAUAGGAACUAAUAAAAUGGAAAACUAGGUACAAUUGUGUCCCAGAAAAAGCUUUACUGCAGCUAUAAAAAUUAAACUUCAUAUGCUGGACUAUAUUCUUAGAAGUUGGAAAUGACGUUCAGAAUCUCUAAGGCCUUUUUUUUUGUAGAUGUCUUGUCUCCAUUGUGCUGCUGGUUUAUUAUUUUCCAUGGCCAAAUAUUUGUUACAUUUCCUCCUGGAAUUUUUUUAAUGGAUUUUCUUGCUUCGAUAGGAUAAGAUGCAUGUUUAAAUGCCUCUAGGGGUAAAUAAUUUCACAUCCACACUUUCAAGCACAAAGUCUGGAUCUUCAGUAGGUUUUUACAUUAUGCAAGUAGACGUUUAAGGUACUUAAUACUUUCCAACCUCUAGUGCCCUUUUUACACAGAGACAGGCAGUCAGCAGGGAUUAAUCUGAUCCUAAUUAACCACAAACUCUUCUGAUAUUUGGUCACUGCACAGUAGCGUGCUGCCAGGUACACAGAGGUAAACUGAUCUGGAUUAUCUGCUGGUGCAUGUGGUUCGCGGAGGGAGGUCUGGUGCUCCGUGCCGUGGGUGAGUUACAGGCAGAUACGGCUUUAAGCCCGGAGCGGGGAGACCGCUGUACGAAGCUGGAGUUGUAAGGAAAGGGGAAAGCACUAACUGGAAGACCUCUUCCUAACGGCUUUCUGUUGAGGUUUCCUUUUUACAGAUAGCAUUUGUCAGUGCUGCGCUGCAACAGGGCAGAAAGCGAAAAGCAUGAAAAAUCCAAAGAGCAGAACAGUUUCUUCUUCUUUUUCAGCAGUAAAGGAGCACGACUUUGUGGAUACAAGUCCUCUCUCUUUUUCUGGCCCAUGUACGAGCACCAUGUCUGAUGGAGCCUUGGGAAGGUGCGAGCGAGCGUGCGCGUGUCUUUACUGGCGCGCAGCCCACCAUGGCUCUCGUCUUUCUUCCCUUACUGAGCAGCUGAGCUCUGCCCGCCUCUCACAACACAGAAAGCAGAGUGCUGAAGGUCUUCCCCGGCCUCACGGUAGCCCAUAAAGCAAACAACAAGCAGAAGUGGUGAGCAAGAGGAACUGUGACGUCCAGUAUUUCUGCCAAGAGGUCUGGGCGAUGGGCUCAGCCUGUCCUUGUGAGUGCUGUGAGUGACAGCUGAGCGGACUUGAAGGGACAGCCAGGCACAGGGACGAAGAAUCCUGCCGGAGGAAAAUCAAGGUGUUCCUGUGGAUGGAAAAAGGGAGGAAGCAGCAGAAUAAAGGUCAGAAGAGACAAAUCUCCCAGAAAUGGGAUCCUGAAAAGUAACUUGCUGUCCUGAAGUGGCUAAUAUUAGGCAAAUUCGCCACAGAGCUAGGUGGUAGUUCUUCAGAUACCAUGGUGACCACGGCACCUCCGAUCCUCUGAGAACAGCUUGAUUCACUGCCUGGGCUUUACCUUUCUUCAGAUGGCCCCAAACAGGAGAGGCAAAAACCAGCUCAAGCCAUAGAAGUAGGCAAGCAGGUACUCGCAUGAACAAGCGCUGGUUUCCAGCAUGAAGUUUGUUUAUUGCUAUCCCCUUCCUUUUUUUGCCCCCUUAACUCUGAAGCAUUGUCCCUGAGCCAUAGCGGUUCUUGGAGAUCAAGAGAGUAAAAAUAAUCUCCAGAGUAGCAGUGAUUUUGGGAAGCUGCCCUCUCUUGUAUCAGUGUGCAGCCUGCUUCGUAUCCAGCCAUGAGCUCUUGCCGACACAGCUGGAGUCUGGCAGGAGCAGAGCGCUGGCUCCAAGCUGAGCUUUCACGGCUCAAAUGUGGGCUCAGCUCUUACAGAAAACAUUCACUGCCUUCCCCUCCUUUAAAGUGAAGUCUGCUGGAAUAUACAUCUAACAGAAUAACAUCAUUUUGUUUAGGUUUCUCUCUAGUAAGCAGCUCUGCAUUAGACCUAGUUUCGGUAACACAGUGUUACUCAUUUUUUCUCUGGGGAGGCCGAGGGAGCACGUGGCUGAGGGUCUUGUGCGAAGCCAGGCAGAAGGCAUGUGCCAUUAACUACAGGAUGGCUGCUGGUGGUUCAUCUGGAGUUGUUCCCUGUGCACUUUUGUUCUGAGAUGCCUUUCAAGCUGGGACCCUCAGCGCUGUUAUAUUCCUCACCCCUGAGGUUGUACAAACAUGGCAAAUCUGUGUUCUGGAAGAAGACAAAAUUAAACUGUUAAACUAUCUAUCUUGUUUUAUCAGAAACAUUACUAGUAAUAGAAAAGAAAAAGUGUUACAAAGCUAAUUGCUCUUUCUGAAGGUGACUUUAGGGACACGACGAUGUGCUGAUUCUGCUUGAGAUGUGGCAUAGCACAUAUGC